UCAUAGUGAUCCGGUGGUUCUGAAUGGAAGGGCCAUCGCUCAACGGAUAAAAGGUACUCCGGGGAUAACAGGCUGAUACCGCCCAAGAGUUCAUAUCGACGGCGGUGUUUGGCACCUCGAUGUCGGCUCAUCACAUCCUGGGGCUGAAGUAGGUCCCAAGGGUAUGGCUGUUCGCCAUUUAAAGUGGUACGCGAGCUGGGUUUAGAACGUCGUGAGACAGUUCGGUCCCUAUCUGCCGUGGGCGCUGGAGAACUGAGGGGGGCUGCUCCUAGUACGAGAGGACCGGAGUGGACGCAUCACUGGUGUUCGGGUUGUCAUGCCAAUGGCACUGCCCGGUAGCUAAAUGCGGAAGAGAUAAGUGCUGAAAGCAUCUAAGCACGAAACUUGCCCCGAGAUGAGUUCUCCCUGACCCUUUAAGGGUCCUGAAGGAACGUUGAAGACGACGACGUUGAUAGGCCGGGUGUGUAAGCGCAGCGAUGCGUUGAGCUAACCGGUACUAAUGAAC
This 505-nucleotide ribosomal RNA is filed under the name Shigella sonnei. Its description in RNAcentral is "partial 23S ribosomal RNA". It matches the Rfam family "Bacterial large subunit ribosomal RNA", at positions 2410 to 2909 of the family's 2925-position model. Lineage: Bacteria; Pseudomonadati; Pseudomonadota; Gammaproteobacteria; Enterobacterales; Enterobacteriaceae. The record is from RNAcentral.